This 334-nucleotide long non-coding RNA is filed under the name Homo sapiens (human). Its description in RNAcentral is "non-protein coding lnc-TTC5-1:1". Lineage: Eukaryota; Metazoa; Chordata; Mammalia; Primates; Hominidae. The record is from RNAcentral.
CCAAUCUAUUUAUGUGAGGAAUAGAUACAUAAAACCUUACUGGUAUUUAGUAGGAAAUCUUUUAUUGUUAAUAUUUUAUUUACAAUCUUACUUGAUAUUUAUCAUUGAGUUAAAUUGCACAUACCAUUCAGGUAUGGUUAAAAACUCAUUUCUGCUUCAUGCAGUCAGACUUUUCUGUUGCAAAUCUCAACUUUUGGCUAUAAAAACAAGGUAUCAAAAUAAACAGGAAGUUACUUCUAUGUGUUCAAAUAUAGCACAACUACUACUUGAAACUCAAAGCCUUUUCUCCUUAAUUAUAAUAUCUUCAGACUGCUUUUCUCUAUAUAGAUUCUCA